Molecule: ribosomal RNA, 1017 nt
Filed under: uncultured bacterium
Lineage: Bacteria
Description: bacterial SSU rRNA
Rfam family: Bacterial small subunit ribosomal RNA
Source: RNAcentral
UGAGGAAUAUUGGUCAAUGGACGCGAGUCUGAACCAGCCAAGUAGCGUGAAGGAUGACUGCCCUAUGGGUUGUAAACUUCUUUUAUAUGGGAAUAAAGUGGUCCACGUGUGGAUUUUUGUAUGUACCAUAUGAAUAAGGAUCGGCUAACUCCGUGCCAGCAGCCGCGGUAAUACGGAGGAUCCGAGCGUUAUCCGGAUUUAUUGGGUUUAAAGGGAGCGUAGGCGGAUUGUUAAGUCAGUUGUGAAAGUUUGCGGCUCAACCGUAAAAUUGCAGUUGAUACUGGAUAUCUUGAGUGCAGUUGAGGCAGGCGGAAUUCGUGGUGUAGCGGUGAAAUGCUUAGAUAUCACGAAGAACUCCGAUUGCGAAGGCAGCUUGCUGGACUGUAACUGACGCUGAUGCUCGAAAGUGUGGGUAUCAAACAGGAUUAGAUACCCUGGUAGUCCACACAGUAAACGAUGAAUACUCGCUGUUUGCGAUAUACAGUAAGCGGCCAAGCGAAAGCGUUAAGUAUUCCACCUGAGGAGUACGCCGGCAACGGUGAAACUCAAAGGAAUUGACGGGGGCCCGCACAAGCGGAGGAACAUGUGGUUUAAUUCGAUGAUACGCGAGGAACCUUACCCGGGCUUGAAUUGCAACUGAAUGAUGUGGAGACAUGUCAGCCGCAAGGCAGUUGUGAAGGUGCUGCAUGGUUGUCGUCAGCUCGUGCCGUGAGGUGUCGGCUUAAGUGCCAUAACGAGCGCAACCCUUAUCUUCAGUUACUAACAGGUCAUGCUGAGGACUCUGGAGAGACUGCCGUCGUAAGAUGUGAGGAAGGUGGGGAUGACGUCAAAUCAGCACGGCCCUUACGUCCGGGGCUACACACGUGUUACAAUGGGGGGUACAGAAGGCCGCUACCUGGUGACAGGAUGCCAAUCCCAAAAACCUCUCUCAGUUCGGAUCGAAGUCUGCAACCCGACUUCGUGAAGCUGGAUUCGCUAGUAAUCGCGCAUCAGCCAUGGCGCGGUGAAUACGUUCCC